GAUGAACGCUGGCGGCGUGCCUAAUACAUGCAAGUCGAGCGAACGGACGAGAAGCUUGCUUCUCUGAUGUUAGCGGCGGACGGGUGAGUAACACGUGGAUAACCUACCUAUAAGACUGGGAUAACUUCGGGAAACCGGAGCUAAUACCGGAUAAUAUUUUGAACCGCAUGGUUCAAAAGUGAAAGACGGUCUUGCUGUCACUUAUAGAUGGAUCCGCGCUGCAUUAGCUAGUUGGUAAGGUAACGGCUUACCAAGGCAACGAUGCAUAGCCGACCUGAGAGGGUGAUCGGCCACACUGGAACUGAGACACGGUCCAGACUCCUACGGGAGGCAGCAGUAGGGAAUCUUCCGCAAUGGGCGAAAGCCUGACGGGGCAACGCCGCGUGAGUGAUGAAGGUCUUCGGAUCGUAAAACUCUGUUAUUAGGGGAGAACAUAUGUGUAAGUAACUGUGCACAUCUUGACGGUACCUAAUCAGAAAGCCACGGCUAACUACGUG
RNAcentral lists this ribosomal RNA (497 nucleotides) under uncultured bacterium. Its description in RNAcentral is "partial 16S ribosomal RNA". It matches the Rfam family "Bacterial small subunit ribosomal RNA", at positions 28 to 507 of the family's 1533-position model. The record is from RNAcentral.